Molecule: long non-coding RNA, 2429 nt
Filed under: Paramuricea clavata
Lineage: Eukaryota; Metazoa; Cnidaria; Anthozoa; Malacalcyonacea; Plexauridae
Source: RNAcentral
GAAGGAAGGUAAAAAUAUAUUUGACAUUUCUAAUUUAAACCCGAGAACAAAACACAAUGAUUUAUUUAUAUAGUCUUUUGACCAAUGUUACAAUGCAGGGGUGGGGAAAAACAGCGGGUCAUCCUUAAUGUAAUGUAAAUAUCAUGCAAUAUCAAACCAAAAGAAAUAAAACUGCAGAUAAACUCAACCUCAGGGCAAUACCAGGUCAGGCAGCACAAUAUAGUGAACCCAAGAAAUACGCCUAUUGCAUGUACAUUGGAUUGCAAGCUACCACAAACACUCAAACAGUAAACCUAGAUACAUUCUUAGUGUUACAUGCUAUAAGCAUCCAAUAAACCCAUUCGAUUUAACUCUUUGUUAGAAUUAAAAACAGUUCAGUUAAGGUUACAGAACACCUUUGAGUGUUAAUUUUGCCUAAAUUUUUUUUAUUGGUUCCAUGAAAGCAUUAGACUAGUUCUACUAUCUGACCAAGUUUGGACGAAAAAUGUUGAAAACUCGCAGAGUUAUUUAAUAAAAUACAUUUCGCUGCAAUAAGAAAAACAUUGAAAAUGUAAUAUUCAAAUUCAAUUUUCUCCCGAAAAAUUUUACGGUAAUUACUGAUUUUCAAACGAGUUGUGCUCCUGCGGGUGUUAACCAAUUUUUCUCAAAUUUUCACAGGACAUAGCUAAAGACGUCAGUUUCAAAAUUGUGUUCGGCUUUUUUUUAAUUUUGGAUAUUUUAAUAAUAAAGAGCAAUUCACUCAAACAAUUCAGAAAUAUAUUGUAGUCGUCAAAGAAAUCGCCAUAUCAGCGGAAUGACGAAAUAAACAGAAAUUUCCGAACACAAUUUUUUAGAACAACUAUUUUACUGUAUAAAAAUGAUAUUUUCAUAAAUAUAACUUAAAACCAGCAGGAGCACAACUCAAAAGCGUAACGGUACCGGGAUUUAAGAUUUUCCUGAAUAAUUCUUACAUUAUUUUAUUGUUUGUUAAUUUUACAACUUUACCAUAUUUUGCAUACCCUGGCGAACAUUUGGUGAAAAUGUGAUUAAAAUCGGACUGAUAUUGAGCGCGCAGUAGCGGUUUUCCGCAAAACGCCAAAAAGGGUGUCCUGUAACCUUAAUUGUUUUGUUGUAAGUUAGUAUAACUGUCGAUAACUCAGAAAAGUUAGUAUUUACUGUAACUGUCGAAAACUUUCUUGGUCCCAGAAAAUAAAACAUUUUUUCAACCCCUGCAUAUACGAUGAGAGUUAAUGGCCAAUCCCAUAUUAAUCAAAAUUCCAUCCCAGCAUGAAAGAGCAUCACAAAAUUAGUAAUAUUCCAAAGUUUCGUUGCGAAAUGUUGUAAAAUGCGGAUAAUAUAGCCAUGCGAAGUUUGUAAUUUUCAGUCAUUUUGUAUUACGCACGGAAGUGGUAACCAUUUCCCGUUUGUAAUACAAAAUGACUGAAAAUUGCAAAUUUCGCAAGGCUAUACAUUAUCAGCAUUUUACAACAUUUCGCAACGAAACUUUGGAAUAUUACUAAUUUUGUGACUCUCUUUCAAGCUGUGAUGAAAUUUUUGUCUAGACUUGUUGAGUUCAAAAUUUUGGUUAAUGUGGGAUUGGUCCAUUAAAUAUAUUAGUUUUGCCUUAUUGUUCAAUAUUGACCACUCAUUUUAUAUGUAUAUAGGUAUAUAGUAUAGAAUGGGUGGCCAACUAAAAUUUAAAAUCAAAAGAAGCCACGUACAGAGAAGCAAGUUUCCCCUGACACGUUUCAUUUGUUCGUGUGCACGGCAAGGAGCUUUGUUGAAAAGCUGGUCAUGCCAGUUCUUCAACAAGGAAAAGUGUUCGCCCAUUGACAUUAAAUAUCGUUUAUAUUGUGGUAAGACAGUUCCAACUGUUUUUAAUUUUGUUGGAAGUGGCUUGGACGAAAAUUAUCAUAACAUUGUUCACGUACUGAAAUAAAGCGGGCUCGUAAAAACUUGUCAAGGAAAAAUUCAUGCAAAAAAACUUGUUCGACGUACAUACUGUACGAGCGAAUAAACUCUUCAAGGAAAACUCGCUCGUCUUUAUACGGGGCUUGAGUCAAUAAACACAUAUGGUCCGGAAGCUCGGGUUUUUUGUGAAGAUGAUUCACCGUACACAAAUCUUUUGAGAUUUUUGGUACGAGUUUUUGAACAGUACAGAUGCCAUCAGAUGCAUGAUUGCCUCAUUUUAAGGGGUUAUACAUAUAAGCCCAGCUAACCAGCUAACGCAUAUAACAUUUAAUUUGUGUUCAUAUAGUCAGGCAGAUAGGAGGGGAAAAACUCACUCGAGAAAAAUUCUAUAUUAAGGCUGGUAAGUAUAUUUUUGUAUGUUGGCGGCGUUUAAAUGUCUUGUGGGUUGUUACAGCAUUAGAAAGCUUACAUUCAUAGGCGUACCGGGCGGGGGGGGGGGGGGGGGGGGCCCCCCCNNNNNNNNNNNNNNNNNNNNGAAU